This 962-nucleotide ribosomal RNA is filed under the name Lophiostoma macrostomoides. RNAcentral's name for it is "partial large subunit ribosomal RNA". Lineage: Eukaryota; Fungi; Ascomycota; Dothideomycetes; Pleosporales; Lophiostomataceae. The record is from RNAcentral.
AUUGACCUCGGAUCAGGUAGGGAUACCCGCUGAACUUAAGCAUAUCAAUAAGCGGAGGAAAAGAAACCAACAGGGAUUGCCCUAGUAACGGCGAGUGAAGCGGCAACAGCUCAAAUUUGAAAUCUGGCUCCUUUGGGGUCCGAGUUGUAAUUUGUAGAGGGUGCUUUGGYGUUGGYUGUGGUCUAAGUUCCUUGGAACAGGACGUCACAGAGGGUGAGAAUCCCGUACGUGGCCGCCAGCCUCCACCGUGUAAAGCCCCUUCGAUGAGUCGAGUUGUUUGGGAAUGCAGCUCUAAAUGGGAGGUAAAUUUCUUCUAAAGCUAAAUAUUUGCCAGAGACCGAUAGCGCACAAGUAGAGUGAUCGAAAGAUGAAAAGCACUUUGGAAAGAGAGUCAAAAAGCACGUGAAAUUGUUGAAAGGGAAGCGCUUGCAGCUAGACGUGCCUUGGGUUGAUCAGCCGGGCUUUUGCCCGGUGCACUCUUCCUUUGGCAGGCCAGCAUCAGUUUGGGCGGCUGGAUAAAGGUCUGUUAAACGUGACUUCCUUCGGGGAGAGCUUAUAGGGCAGACGACAUGCAGCCAGCCUGAACUGAGGUCCGCGCAUCUGCUAGGAUGCUGGCGUAAUAGCUGUAAGCGGCCCGUCUUGAAACACGGACCAAGGAGUCUAACAUCUAUGCGAGUGUUUGGGUGUCAAGCCCGAGCGCGUAAUGAAAGUAAACGGAGGUGGGAACCCUUUGGGCGCACCAUCGACCGAUCCUGAUGUCUUCGGAUGGAUUUGAGUAAGAGCAUAGCUGUUGGGACCCGAAAGAUGGUGAACUAUGCCUGAAUAGGGUGAAGCCAGAGGAAACUCUGGUGGAGGCUCGCAGCGGUUCUGACGUGCAAAUCGAUCGUCAAAUUUGGGCAUAGGGGCGAAAGACUAAUCGAACUAUCUAGUAGCUGGUUCCUGCCGAAGUUUCCCUCAGGAAA